RNAcentral lists this long non-coding RNA (2435 nucleotides) under Nicotiana benthamiana. RNAcentral's name for it is "long non-coding RNA (NBEN_LNC003440)". Lineage: Eukaryota; Viridiplantae; Streptophyta; Magnoliopsida; Solanales; Solanaceae. The record is from RNAcentral.
AGCCAAACAAUUAAAAAUACAACAAUGAUAAAAGAAAAUAAGAAGUUACUCAAUAGAGAGCCUUCAGCCAUGCCCAAGCAUCUCCAACCUCACUCCUUUCGAGUUUCACAGCCAUUACCAAGGCUUGGGUGCGGCAAAGUUCACUAAGGGUUUGUUUGAACCCCUGGCCAAUACAAAGCACCCAAAAAUGUCCCAAUUAGACAAGUGCAAACAUUGGAAGUGCCAGCCGUGUGCAUCAGAGUUCCAUGGGUGCUCAAGGCUCCCAUGGCAGCGCUUAUACUAAGGGGGCAGACCCUAAAAAUCUAAGAAUGAGAUUGUAAUUGAGAGGGUUGAAAACAGUUGAGAGACAUUUUAACAAAACAGUUAAAAGAAUUGAGAGAGUUUAUGAAAAUAGUUGAAAGAGUUUGAAAAGUUGAGCCAGUUUAAAAAAUAGUUGAAGGAAUUGAGAGAAUUUAAGAAAUUAUUUUAGACUGACCAGUUUUAGAACAGCAGGGCAUCACACAAACAGGGGGCAAAGGGGAAAGGGGACAAAUAAGCAAAGUGAACUACUCACAUACAAGAAAUAAUCAGACAUGAUUGCAAGACAUGGGUUCAAUUCCUUACUGCACCAAAUUCUAAUACACUUAGCUUCAAACAGAGACUUUAGCUUAAACAAGUAGCCAAGCAGUCAUGGAUGCAUGGUAGUAGCAUACAGGGAAAGGUAAAGAUUCAUUUAGGCAGGGGAGGGGAUAAGGGAGCAAAUAAGUAGAGUGAACAGUCAACAUAUUGGAGGAAAACAAUCAAGCAUGGUUGUAGAACAAGGAUUGAAUUCUUACUGCACCAAAUCCCAAAUAUAAUCAACCUCAGGGAGAGGUUUCAGGGCUGUUAAGUAGCCAAGCAGUAGUGCACAUGGAAGAAGAACAUGCAUUGAGACAAAUCCCAAAUAUAAUCAACCUCAGGGAGAGGUUUCAGGGCUGUUAAGUAGCCAAAGCAGUAGUGCACAUGGAAGGAGAAACAUGUAUUGAGACAAGGGGAAAGGGGAUAAGGGAGAACAUGCUAAGUUAAACUAGUAGAGUAACAAUUGCAUGCUAGUGGCAAUAAGAGGAACUGAACCAUAGGUAAAAGCACACAAGAAAUAAUAUGAAUUGCAAAACUAAUAGGAGCAUGUUGUUGUGGAAACUAUAUAUUAAAUAGGUGACAUACCAGUUGGAGGUAAUAGGAUACAAUAGCAAUGCAAUAAUGCACAAAGGGAGGGCAAAAGUAUGCAAAGAAUGAGAGCAGCUGUGUGAGUAACAGCAAUAUGAGAAUAGCAACAGCAGUAUGAGAACAACAACAGCAAUAUGAGAACAGCACCAACAACGGACCCAAUGUAGACAAACAAAUAGAACCCAAUAGUGUAAAGUAAUCAACUCAGGCUACCAAAUCUUGGCUGAGCCAAUUGAGUGUUCAAACAAGAGAAUGAGAUAGUAUAGUAAUAGCAUAGGAAGAGAGAAUUCAGAGAGUCUGAGGUUGUGAGAGCAGUAUGUGUUGGUGUUCAAAGAGAAAGGUGAGGAGUAUUUAUAGUAUUAAAAACGAGUGAAAAAUAAGGCAUCAAUCCAUAUUUAAGGAACUGAUAUCAAUCAUAAUCAAAUAAGUAUAGGGACUCCCCUUUAACUAAGGAAUCAUAGUCAAACGAUAAUAAUCAGUCACUUUUAAAUGGAAAAGAAUCACAACGUAUGACAUGGUCACAUAAGGAAACGAAAUAGUAUAAGGUAUACAAUGCAUACUAGGUACAUGAGACAUUAACCAGGAAAAUAUUAAACAGUAAUAAGCAGUCAUUUUUAAAAGGAAAAGAAUCACAAAGUAUGGCAUGGUCACAUAAGAAAAAAAAAUUGUAUAAGGCAUACAAUGCAGACUAGGUACAUGAGACUUUAACCAUGGAAAUAUGUCAAGAAAAUAAGUAGACAUACUUGUACACAUCUCUCAACCUACCUUAUCAGCAGAAGAGAUGGUGGAACAUCCUACUGGAAAGUCUAGCAGAUCUUCCAAACCUUCCAUUUGGCUCAAAGACUAUGUAACUACAGUCAAAUCUACAAAAGAAACACCUCAAUAUCCAAUUUCAUCACCUAUGAUCAUAUUUCUGAGAAAUACAAAUCAUUCUUGGGCUCCUUCUCAAAACUCAUUGAACCUAGAUCAUUCAAGGAGGCUUGCCUUGAUAAGGCCUGGGUGGAGGCAAUGGAAGCAGAAGUUAGAGCACUUGAAGAUAAUGCCACCUGGGAAGUAGUAGAUAUCCCUCGGGGGAAGAAAGCUAUAAGCUCAAAGUGGGUGUUCAAGAUAAAAUAUAAGGCAAAGGGGGAGGUGGAAAGGUUCAAAGCAAGGCUAGUGGCAAAGGGGUACACACAGCAAGAAGGAUUGGAUUAUCAUGAGAUAUUUCCUCCUGUUGCUAAAAUGGUCACUGUCAGGACCAUAAUUAGUUU